RNAcentral lists this ribosomal RNA (394 nucleotides) under Labrisomus nuchipinnis (hairy blenny). RNAcentral's name for it is "partial 12S ribosomal RNA". It matches the Rfam family "Bacterial small subunit ribosomal RNA", at positions 791 to 1385 of the family's 1533-position model. The record is from RNAcentral. Lineage: Eukaryota; Metazoa; Chordata; Actinopteri; Blenniiformes; Labrisomidae.
UAUGCACAGCUGUAAACUCUGGCAGUACACUACAAAAACUGCCCGCCAGGGAACUACGAGCACUAGCUUGAAACCCAAAGGACUUGGCGGUGCUUUAGAACCACCUAGAGGAGCCUGUUCUAGAACCGAUAACCCCCGUUCAACCUCACCCUCUCUUGUUCCUUCCCGCCUAUAUACCGCCGUCGUCAGCUUACCCUGUGAAGGCUUAAGAAGUAAGCACAAUCAGUACAACUCAAAACGUCAGGUCGAGGUGUAGCUUAUGAGAGGGGAAGAAAUGGGCUACAUUCCCUAUUUUCAGGGCACACGAAAAAAAUGCUGAAAUGCAUUUUGGAAGGAGGAUUUAGCAGUAAGCGGAAAGUAGAGCGUUCCGCUGAAGCCGGCACUGAAGCGCGCA